GAUGAACGCUGGCGGCGUGCUUAAUACAUGCAAGUUGAGCGCUGAAGGUUGGUACUUGUACCAACUGGAUGUGCAGCGCACGGGUGUGUAACGUGUGGGGAAUCCGCUUUAGAGCGGGGGACAACUUUUGGACUCGAACGAUAAUCCCGUAUAACAACUUUAAACAUACGUUUUAAGUUUGAAAGAUGCAAUUGCAUCACUCAAAGAUGCUCUCGCGUUGUAUUAGCUAGUUGGUGAGGUAAAGGCUCACCCAGGCGAUGAUACUUAGCCGACCUGCGAGGGUGAGCAGCCGCAUUGGGACUGAGACACGGCCCAAACUCCUACAGGAGGCAGCAGUAGUGAUUCGUCGGCAAGGAACGAAAGUCUGACCGAGCAACGCCGCAGGAGUGAGGAGGGAUGUCGGAUCGUAAAACUCUGUUGGUGGAGAAUAACGUUGGUGAGAGUGGAAAGCACAUCAAGUGACGGUAACUACCCAAAAAGGAACGGCUAACUACGUG
RNAcentral lists this ribosomal RNA (497 nucleotides) under uncultured bacterium. RNAcentral describes it as "partial 16S ribosomal RNA". It matches the Rfam family "Bacterial small subunit ribosomal RNA", at positions 28 to 507 of the family's 1533-position model. The record is from RNAcentral.